UACGUAGGAGACGAGUGUUGUCCGGAGUUACUGGGCGUAAAGGGUGCGCAGGUGGCGGCGCGCGUGGGGGGUGAAAUCGCCCGGCUUAACUGGGCGGGGGCCUUCCAGACGGCGUGGCUUGAGCAGCGGAGGGGGACGUGGAAUUCCGGGUGGAGCGGUGAAAUGCGCAGAUAUCAGGAGGAACACCAAUUGCGAAGGCAGCUCGCUGGAACGUUACUGACGCUGAGACGCGGAAGCGUGGGGAGCAAACAGG
RNAcentral lists this ribosomal RNA (253 nucleotides) under uncultured bacterium. RNAcentral describes it as "partial 16S ribosomal RNA". It matches the Rfam family "Bacterial small subunit ribosomal RNA", at positions 524 to 776 of the family's 1533-position model. The record is from RNAcentral.